RNAcentral lists this ribosomal RNA (2282 nucleotides) under Solanum verrucosum. RNAcentral describes it as "eukaryotic LSU rRNA". The stretch from base 338 to 2282 matches the Rfam family "Eukaryotic large subunit ribosomal RNA", at positions 1 to 2314 of the family's 3401-position model. Lineage: Eukaryota; Viridiplantae; Streptophyta; Magnoliopsida; Solanales; Solanaceae. The record is from RNAcentral.
CAGCGAAAUGCGAUACUUGGUGUUAAUAAUUGCAGAAUCCCGUGAACCAUUGAUUCUUAGAAUGCAUGUUGCACCCGAAGCCAUAGGCCAAGGGCACUUUUGCCUAGGCGUCAAACAUCGGGUCACCCCUCCCCCCACAUGCUGCAAGGCAUAACACAUGGCGAAAGUUGGCCUCCUGUGCUCCUCGAGCGCGCGGCUGGCCUAAAUGCGAGUCCACGUCGACGGACUUCACGGCAAGUGGUGGUUGAAACUCAACUCUCUCUUUUUGUCGCGACUACAACCUAUCGUGUGUCCUGAUUCCCAGACCCUCCAAUCGCCGACUAAAACCCUCUAACCGCGACCCCGGGUCAGGCGAGAUUACCCGCUGAGUUUAAGCAUAUCAAUAAGCGGAAGAAAAGAAACUUACAAGGAUUCCCUUAGUAAUGGGGAGCUAAUCGGGAACAACCUAACCUUAGAAUCGGGUGGCUCCAUUGUCCGAAUUGUAUUCUGGAGAAGCGUCCUCAGCGAAGGAUCGGGCCCAUGUCCCUUGGAAGGGGCGUCAGAGGGGGUGACAACCCCGUUGUCCCUGGACCCUGCCACACGACGAGGCGCUGUCUACGAGUUGGGUUGUUUGGGAAUGCAACCCAAAUCGGGCGGUGAAUUUCGUCCUUGGCUAAAUACGGGUGAGAAACCGAUAAUGAACAAGUACCACGAGGAAUCUGAUUGGUGGGAUCCUCCUGAGGGGUGCACCGCCGACCGACCUUGAUCUUCUGAGAAGGGUUCGAGUGUGAGCAUACUUGCUGGGACCCGAAAGAUGGUGAACUAUGCCUGAGCGGGGUGAAGCCAAAGCAUACUCUAGUGGAGGCCCGUUGUGAUACUGACGUGCAAAUCGUUCAUCUGACUUGGGUAUAGGGGCGAAAGACUAAUUGAACCGUCUAGUAGCUAGUUUCGUUCGAAGUUUCUCACAGAAUAACUAGAGCUCAGGUACGAGUUCUAUCGGGUAAAGCCAAUGAUUAGAGGCUUCAUGGGGCAACACCCUGACCUAUUUUAAAACAUUAAAUCAGAAGGACGACGUGACUGCUUCGUUGAGCUGCACCACAGAAUCAAGAGCUCCAAGUGGGCCAUUUUUGGUAAGCUAUACUGGCGAUGAGGGAUGAACCGAAACCCGGCUUAUGGUUCCAAACUGCACUCUAACCAAGAUCCAACAAAGGGUGUUGGUCGAUUAAGACAGUAGAAAGGUGGUCAUGGAAGUCAAAAUCUGCUAAGGAGUGUGUACCAACUCACCUGCAGAGUAAACUAGCCCCGAAAAUGCAUGGGCACUUAAGCGUGCGACCUACACUUAGCCGUCGGGGCAAGUGCCAGACCCCAAUGAGUUGGAGGGAAUGGCGGUCGCUACAAAACCUUGGGCAUGACCAUGUGCGGAGCAGCCGUCAUGUAGAUCUUGGUGGUAGUAGCAAAUAUUCAAAUGAGGACUUUGAAGGCCGAAAAGGGGAUAGGUUCAAUGUGAACGGCACUAGCACAUGGGUUAGUUGAUCCUAUGGGUCAGGGGAACCCUAAUAGAUAGCACAUUUCACGCGUACUCCGAAAGGGAAGCGGGUUAAAAUUCCUUAAUCGGAACAUGACAGUUGACGACAACGUUAGAAAGUCGGCAAACGUCGGUGGGAGCCUCAGGAAGAGUUGUCUUUUCUAUUUAACAGCAUGCCCACCAUGGAAUCGAUUUGCCGGAGUUAGGGUUCAGUGGAUGGAAGAGCACCACACAUCACGUGGUGUCUAGUGCACUCCCGACGACCCUUGAAAAUCCAGAGGACCUAAUGUCGUCCACGCUCGAUCGUCCUCAUAACUGCAUCAGGUCUCCAAGGUGAACAACCUCUGGUUGAUGGAACAAUGUAAGCAAGGAAAGUCGGCAAAAUGGAUCCGUAACUUCGUGAAAAGAAUUGGCUCUGAGGGUUUGGCAUGGGGGUCCUAGUACCGAACCCACUGGCUGUCCAUGAACUGCAUGAGCUGAACCCACAGAAAUAAUGGGUCGCCGUGUGCCGGCCGGGGGACGGACUGGGAACAGUUCCUUUGGGGGCCUUCCCCGGGAGUCAAAUUGCCAACUCAGAACUAGUACGGACAAGGGGAAUUUGACUAUUUAAUUAAAACAAAGCAUUGCGAUGGUCCCAACGGAUGUUUACGCAAUGUGAUUUUUGUCCAGUGCUCUGAAUGUCAAAGUGAAGAAAUUCAACCAUGCGGAGGUAAACGGCCGGAGUAAAUAAGUCUCUCUUAAGGUAGCCAAAUGCCUCUUCAUCUAAUUAGUGAAGCGU